GCCUGAGUGGCUCAGUGGUUGGGCGUCUGCCUUCGGCUCAGGGCGUGACCCCGGGGGUCCUGGGAUCAAGUCCCAGCUCGGGCU
RNAcentral lists this transfer RNA (84 nucleotides) under Canis lupus familiaris (dog). It matches the Rfam family "tRNA". From Rfam's summary of the family: Transfer RNA (tRNA) molecules are approximately 80 nucleotides in length. RNAcentral also lists the same sequence under 1 other name. Lineage: Eukaryota; Metazoa; Chordata; Mammalia; Carnivora; Canidae. The record is from Rfam by way of RNAcentral.